AGUGGAAUAGUUGGGUCAUAUGGUGGCUCCAUUCCUAGUGUUUGAGAAAUUUCCAUACUAUUUCCUAAAGUGGGCAUACUAAUUUUCAGUCCCACUAAAAAU
RNAcentral lists this microRNA precursor (102 nucleotides) under Marmota monax (woodchuck). Lineage: Eukaryota; Metazoa; Chordata; Mammalia; Rodentia; Sciuridae. The record is from RNAcentral.